UAGCGACGAAAAAACAGUAUCACCCACCUCUGCAGUUGCACUAUACGCUAUAUGGAGAGUUUUAGCCUCUUUUAACUCAUUGUUUUGGUUUUACGGUCUGGAUCUUGAGACCAAAACAGGGCAAUGAAGAGAAUGAAUGUUGGACUUACAUUCGUCAGGUGGACAGAAACAUCACUUCAAGUGAAUGCUAAUGUUGGUCUGCGGCUGUAAGCACUCGUUUACCAUAGCAACUUUACAAGGUGAUAAUAUGUAAAUGCUGUGUUUACAGCUUGUUCUGCUGCCCCCAAGUGGCCAAACAAAAUCAAUGACCUCAGGACCUCGGAAGGUCAAAGUGAAUGGUAGGCAGUAACCAUGACCACUAUUGUUCCCUUACCUUAACCACGGAGUUGCUCAUUUCAUUUGUAUUGGCUGUUUUGGAAGGCCCUGAAAAGAGAUGUACUGACGAGGCUAAAUUACAACUACUCCACAAUCUGGCUUACUCUGGCUUUGUUAGCUCCUUUGUAAAAGGCUGUAGAAACACAAUUAAUCAUGAGCACUAGGAUCGAGUGUCAGGGUCACUGUGCCAUCCUGCUCUUUCUGCCAAGGAAGGCAGAUUCACAUACUGGUACUUUCUUUAUCUUCUAAAGAGCAAAGGAAGUGGCUUUACCUCCAGAAAAGGGAGAAGAAAUAUGUGGCAAUCUUAAUGUUCAUAUCAAAUAUUUGACAAGUAGAAAAUGUGCCCGUUUGUAUGAGCACAUGAUUGUGUAAACACAAGAGUCACAAAGCCGUUUCCCAUAGCCUGGAGGCAGUGUUCUGCUCUGUGUGCCACUCCCAAGAGCCUGGGAGGAGGCCAUGGAAGGAGGGGCCUGACUCCCCUGUCUCAAGCCCACACAGGUGAACUCCUGUUGGGGUGGAAUGCAGCAGGGAGGGGGCCUUGACACACAGAGGUGUGGAGCUUUUAAUUUCAAACAGGGUGGGGAUGAGAUAGAAGGUACAGGAAGGGAGUUAACCCUCUCCGUCACAGCCACUCACCUGGAUAGAGAAGGGAGAGUGUGUGCGUGGGUGGGUGUGUGUGUGUGUGUGCGCACAGAAGCUAAAGGAGGGAUCGAGUCGCAGCACACACAGUCAUAUUCACUCAGUUGGUCUGAGUCUCUCUGUCUCUCCUAUCUCUCUCUCUCGUACACACUUAAAACCUCCUGCACAGACGCAGAAAGACACACACACCCGACUCAGCUGAGUUUGAGGGCAAAUAAGUCAAUAUUUGACCAGACCGGACUGUACAGGAAGGAAGUAACAAAAGACAGAAAAGAAAAUUGGAAGUCUGUCCUUUUCUUCUUGUUGGAACUUUGACACAAGGACUUGAAGAAGUUUUUUUUCUCCAGGUGGAUACAAACUUUUCCCAAACUCUUGGGUCAAACAAAGCAAAAGGGGAAUUAGUUUUUUCUUAUUUAUUGUUGGACUUUUGGACUUGGACUGGGCGAGAGCGCUGUAAGAGGAAGGAGAUGGGGAGAUGGACGUUACAUCUCUCAGUGAGCCUUGGGCUUCUAGCUGUCCUGUUGACCUGCUGCUAUGCUGAAGUGAACUACUGCUUCGCUUCCAGGGCCAAAACUUGCUCUGAAUGCCUGCAGUCUGGGAAAGACUGCGCCUACUGCUCUGAUGAGACCUUUAACGGCCCUCGGUGUGACCUGGACAGCAAUAUACGGCUACACGGCUGCAAUGCUGCUGCUGUAAUCACAGCUAAGAGCAGUAUGAAGAUAGAAGAAGAGCAAAAAAUCAACAUGAGGCUUCAGCAGUCUCAAGUGUCUCCACAAAAGAUGAGCGUGCAGCUUCUUCCAGGAGAGGAGAGGCUGGUGAAUGUAGAGGUGUUUACUCCGACCAGAGGCCCUCUGGACCUUUAUAUUCUUAUGGACUUCUCCAACUCCAUGGCUGACGAUUUGGACAACUUGAAGAGGAUGGGCAAAGAGCUGGCUGUAUUGGUGGAGAAGCUGUCAAAUGACUUCACCAUUGGGUUUGGAAAGUUUGUGGACAAAGUGAUUGAACCCCAGACUGACAUGAGACCCUCCAAACUCGCACAGCCGUGGCCCAACAGCGACCCUCCGUUCUCUUUCCAAAAUGUUAUCAAGCUGACAACAAACUUGGAUUUCUUCAACAGUGAGCUCCAGAAAGAGAGAAUAUCUGGCAACCUGGACGCUCCUGAAGGAGGUUUUGAUGCCAUAUUGCAGGCUGCAGUUUGUGGGGAUAGGAUUGGUUGGCGCGAUAACAGCACACAUCUCCUGGUUUUCUCCACUGAGUCAGCGUUUCACUACGAGGCUGAUGGUGCUAACGUGCUGUCAGGAAUCCUGCCUCGCAACGACGAGCAAUGCCACCUGGACGCAGCUGGCAAAUACACAGAGGAUAUAAACCAGGAUUACCCUUCGAUACCCACACUGGUCCGCCUGCUGGGCAAACACAACAUCAUACCCAUCUUUGCUGUCACCAACCACUCCUACACGUACUACAAGAAACUCCAAGAAUAUUUCCCCAUUGCUGAGGUUGGUCUGCUGCAAGAAGACUCAUCCAAUAUCCUGGAAGUCAUGGGGACUGCCUUUGAGAAUAUCCGUUCUAAGAUGAGCAUCCGUUCAGAGGAGAAACCCAAGGCUUUUGAGACACAGUUCUUGUCCACCAGUGGAAGCAUUGCGCAAUACGGGAAUUUUGAUUUCAAACCUGGAGCAAUAGGCAAGUUCCAGAUGAGGCUCAAAGCCCUGAGAACAAGCGAUGAGACGCCUGUCUGUCAAAUGAAUCCGGAUGAAAAAGCAGGCAUAAUGAGAGUCAAACCUACAACCUUUAAUGCUGCUGUCAGUGUUAAUGCUACGGUUUUGUGUCCAGUCUGCGACUGUGAGAAGACAUCCAUCCCUAAAGCAGCCAGAUGCAACGGCAACGGAGACCUGGUGUGCGGCAAGUGUCAGUGCAGUGAUGGCUGGCUGGGUGCAUUCUGUAACUGCUCAGCAAGUGUUUCAGCUCAGGCCAAAGACCAGUGUAUAGGUCCUGGCUCGAAAGAGCCUUGUUCAGGUCGCGGAGAAUGCCUGGCGUGUGGAACCUGUGUGUGCCACCAGGAACAGUUUGAAGGAGCCUACUGUCAGUAUGACAAGACCCAGUGUCAAAGAUAUGGUGGCUUUCUCUGCAACGACCGUGGCUCUUGCAUUAUGGGUCAGUGUGCUUGUACCGAGGGCUGGGAGGGCAAGGCCUGUGAGUGUCCCAAGAGCAACCAGACCUGUCUGGACAACAAGGGCGGUGUCUGCAACGGGCGCGGUAAAUGUGUGUGCGGCCGCUGUGAGUGUUCACACUCUGCUGUCGAGAUGACUGCAACCUGUGAGCCAAAUUUCCAGGCCCAGUUGGGCGUGUGUGAAGCUACAAGGGGCUGUGUCCAGUGUCAGGCAUGGAAGACCGGAGAGAAGAAAGAUGAAGAGGAGUGUAAAAAGUGCCCCUUCAAAAUUGUCAUGGUGGAUGAACUCAAAGAAUCGAAGAAAGUGCUUGAUUCGUGCAGUUUCCGUGAUGAGGAUGACGACUGUACGUACCACUACACUGUCGAAAACCCCACAGAUCCAACAGUUAAAGACUUGGAGGUUCAAGUGCUCAAAAAGAAAGAUUGUCCUGCUGCUAGCCUCCUGUGGUUGCUCCCACUCCUCUUGUUCCUCUUGUUACUGCUGGCACUUCUGCUGCUCUGCUGCUGGAAAUACUGUGCCUGCUGUAAAACCUGCUGCCAGAGCUGUCUUGCCCUGCUGCCCUGCUGCAGGAGAGGUCGCAUGGUUGGCUUCAAGGAAGAUGAGUAUUUGCUCCGCCAGUCUCUGCUCACCUCAGACCAUCUAGACACACCGAUGGUUAGGACCGGCCCACCCAAAGGAACCGAUGUGGUUCGCUGGAAGGUCACUGAUAACGUACAUCGAGGACCAAACCACCCCCAGGCUCUGAUAAAGCCCAACCCUAAAGAGAUCAUCCAGUUCCCAAUCUCCCUCCGGCUAAACAAGUUGUUCUCUGAGAACCUGUCUCGCCCCGAAUCCAGAGACGCUGAACAGCUCCGCAAGGAAGUGUCUGAUAAUCUAAAUGAGGUGUACAAGCAGAUUCCUGGUGCCCAGAAGGUGCAGAAGACCUCAUUCAGAAUGCAGAGAAAUGCUGGAAAAAGGCAGGACUACGCCAUCAUGGACACAGUAUUGCCUGCUCCACGCGGCAACUACCCUGAUAUUGUCAAACUCACUGAGAAAAAUGUCCAGUCUGGAAACUUAAAUGACCUCAAAGUGGUGCCCGGCUACUACACUGUGGCCACAGACAAAGAGGCUGCUGGAGCCAUAGAGUUCCAAGAAGGUGUGGAGUCAGUAGACGUUCACGUGCCGCUCUUCGUCAAGGAUGAAGACGAUGACAAGAAACAGCUACUGGUGGAGGCCAUGGAUGUGCCACUGGGCAUCGCUGAGAUUGGAAAACGUUUGGUCAACAUCACUAUCAUCAAAGAGCAUGCCACCAGUGUCUUCUCGUUCCUCCAGCCUUUCUACACCUACAGCCGGCAGGACGGGGUGGCCAACAUCCCAAUCAGCAGAGAGAUCAUAGAAGAUGGACGCACACAGGUCACCUACCGCACACGGGACCUCACAGCCAAGGAUAAGAAGGACUACGUGACUGUGGAAGGGGACCUGACAUAUGGUCCUGGUGAAACUCAGAAAACAGUGCCUGUUCGUCUGCUGGAACUGGGCGAGAAAGACGGCCUCCUGGAAGACAAACAGGUCAAGCAGUUUGUCAUGGAUCUCAGUAACCCACGGCAGGGUGCCAAGCUGGGACGCUACCCAAGAACUACGGUCACCAUCGCAGACCAACCAGAACCCAGUGUGAUGAUGUUUAAAAAGGGCGCCCAGAAUUUCACCACAUCUGAUCCAACCUACACCAUCCCUGUGGUCCGCACACGCAACCAGGACAGCCCCGCCACAGUGAAAUGGCGCACCAAGAAGGCCCAGCGCUUUGAGCUUUCCGGCCCACUAAAGUUUGCUCCUGGAGAGACGGAGAAGAACAUAGUGAUCGACCCGAGGGCCCACCCUGGUCCAAUCCAGCCAGAGACCAUCCAGUUGGAGCUGUUUGAGCCAAGUAGCAACGCUUCUAUUGGAGAGAGGAAGACCACCAUUGUCAAUGUCACUGAAGGAGCUCCCAGAUCUCCAGAGGUUGCCCAAAUGCAACAGAAGGGCUACAUAAACCAGAAAGCCACCUCCCCUGGUGGUCACCUUAUCGCCCCAGAUAACCCUAAGGCCAAAGCAACUGGACCCAGAAGCAUCCGCCUCAACUGGGACCCACCGCCUGGUAACCCCAUGGGGUACAAGGUAAAGUACUGGAUCUAUGGUGACCCAGAGAAAGAUGCACAGGUCUUAGAUGUGAAGACUCCUCAAGCUGAGCUGACCAACCUGUACCCCUAUUGUGACUAUGAGAUGCGAGUGUGCGGCUACAAUGCAUUGGGAGAUGGCUACAAUACAGACGUUGUUACCUGUCAAACACUGGAGGAUGUGCCUGGUGAACCUGGACGUCUGGCCUUCAAUGUCAUCAGUCCAACUGUCACUCAGGUCAGCUGGGGAGAGCCUGCAGAGACAAAUGGCAACAUUACAGCUUAUGAAGUCAUCUACACACCCAUCGACGAUGAACAGAAGCCAGCGGGCACCGCUAAGAAAGUAAAGAUUGACAACCCCAAGAAGCGAAUGCUGUUGAUCGAGAACCUGCAGAACGCCCAGACCUACCAGUACAAGGUCCGUGCCAAGAACAGCGUGGGCUGGGGUCCCUUCAGAGAUGCUACCAUCAACCUGGCAUCACAGCCUGCCAGACCUAUGUCCAUUCCCAUCAUUCCAGAUAUCCCUAUUGUGGAUGCAGAGGCUGGAGAUGAGUACGACAGCUACCUGAUGUACAGCAAUGAGGUGUUGAAGUCCCCCACGGGCUCCAAGACACCCAGUGUCUCUGGUGAUGAUUACAUGAUGAAUGGGAAGUGGGACCAGAACUUCCUUUUCCCGGGGGGAUCAGCAACUCGCAACCUGUCAGCAUCGUCCUCUCCUAUGUCCACUCUGAGCUCAAACUACAGAGGGGCAGGCGGAUCCUUCACAGAAACAACCACCACCUACAUGUCCGGACCAGGGAGCUCUCGUAGACAGGACAUGAUCGGAGGAGGAGUGCAGACAUCAGAAGUCAUCAUGAGGAAGCGCUCAGAGAGAGGUUACACAGAUGAAAACAUCCGGGACUCUAUCGUCAUGGGAGAUGUGUCAAGCAAGUUCCCAGAUCUAGGGUUCGGCUACAGUGGGAUGCAGAGCAGCUCUCAGAGCCAGUUCAGCUACAGCCUGUCUCAGGGUUCCAGGGCCAGGACCCAGUCUUCAGACGUCAAUGAAGCCCUAUAUAACCUGGACAGGGUGCUCCAGGAUGCACGGCUUUCCCCCGGUGUUCCGGACACCCCCAGCAGACUGGUGUUUUCUGCUCUGGGUCCCACUGCCCUCAAAGUCAGCUGGCAGGAGCCCCACUGUGAGAAAGACAUCCUGGGCUACUGCGUCCUCUACCAGCUGCUCAAUGGAGGGGACAUGAAGCGUAUUAAUGUGACAAACCCAGCGGAGAACUCAGUGAUCAUCCAGGACCUGCUGCCCAACCAUUCCUACCUGUUCAAGGUGAAGGCUCAGAGCCAGGAGGGCUGGGGUCCAGAGAGAGAGGGAGUCAUCACCAUCGAGUCCGCUGUGGACCCCAAGAGUCCCCUCAGCCCCAUGCCAGGCUCGCCAUUUACUCUGAGCACUCCCAGUGCCCCCGGGCCCCUGGUCUUCACUGCCCUGAGUCCUGACUCCCUGCAGCUCAGCUGGGAGAAACCUCGUAAACCCAACGGAGACAUCCUGGGCUAUGUAGUCACCUGCGAACAGCUGCAUGGUGGAGGAGACGUGCGUUCCUUCCAGGUGAACGGCGACAGUGCUGAGACAAGUCUUACCGUCCCGAACCUGACUGAGAACGUUCCCUACAAGUUCAAAGUUCAGGCUCGAACCACACAGGGCUUCGGCCCCGAGAGGGAGGGCAUCAUCACCAUCGAGUCUCAGGACGGAAGCGCUUUGUCUCAGUACAACAGCCAAUCAUUGUCAAGGAGGGAGGUUUUCCACAUGCCGACAGAGGUCAGCACACGGACCAACGUCUCCCACACGAUGCUCAACGACCCCUACUUCUCAGACGGGAUGAUGAUGACAUCACAGCACACAGAGAGCAGCGGCAUGGUGACCCGUCAAAUUACCAAGGAGGUGGUUCAGCGGAGCGUCAUGGGAGGAACCACCGUCACAAAGAAGAUGUUUUAUGAAUCUUAAGAAUUAACACCCAGAGGUCCAACAUGACGAGGAAUCGUAUCUGAGCUCCUCUUUUAAAAAGCGUCGGCUCCACAGUGCACACACACGAUCAGUGCAUGUUUUUAUACGUGUGUGUGGGUGUGAGAUUCUACAACCAAACACGGUCUUAUGUAAUAAAUAGAUGGAGAGGAGGCCGCUCUGUCCUGCCUGUUACAAACUGUGGCCACUUUCCUCCACAGAUGAGGUUCAUUUUAACAUUUACAUUCAUUUUCACUGUUGCUACUGAUGCAUUCCACUCCAGUUCCUUCCCACUAAGCAGAUCAUUGAGUGUUAGACUCCACUCCCUCUGUCGGUGCAGAUCUGGUAAGACACACUGGGGCUUUAAAUCGGGCCAGCACGGGCCAGUAAUCUGACCGCAGUUCAGUAAUCCAAAGUGACCUUUUCCCCUUGUCUCCUGUCCUCCACCUGACUGUAAGAGACAGUGUGUGUGUGUGGUUGUGUGUGUGUGUGUGUGUGUGUGUGUGGAGA
Morone saxatilis (striped sea-bass) is the source of this 7808-nucleotide RNA transcript. It is a transcript of the gene named integrin, beta 4, with no coding region annotated. The transcript is spliced from 43 exons. Lineage: Eukaryota; Metazoa; Chordata; Actinopteri; Moronidae. The record is from RefSeq and is a predicted model, not a curated record.